UGGCUCAGUGGUGAGAGCACUGACUGCUAUUCCAGAGGUCCUGAGUUCAAUUCCCAG
This 57-nucleotide transfer RNA is filed under the name Mus musculus (house mouse). It matches the Rfam family "tRNA", at positions 8 to 63 of the family's 71-position model. Rfam says of the family: Transfer RNA (tRNA) molecules are approximately 80 nucleotides in length. Their secondary structure includes four short double-helical elements and three loops (D, anti-codon, and T loops). Lineage: Eukaryota; Metazoa; Chordata; Mammalia; Rodentia; Muridae. The record is from Rfam by way of RNAcentral. RNAcentral also lists the same sequence under 1 other name.